Molecule: ribosomal RNA, 357 nt
Filed under: uncultured Gammaproteobacteria bacterium
Lineage: Bacteria; Pseudomonadati; Pseudomonadota; Gammaproteobacteria
Description: bacterial SSU rRNA
Rfam family: Bacterial small subunit ribosomal RNA
Source: RNAcentral
CUAGCUUGCUAGUUGCUGACGAGUGGCGGACGGGUGAGUAACGCGUAGGAAUCUACCGAGUAGUGGGGGACAACAGUUGGAAACGACUGCUAAUACCGCAUAAUCCCUGAGGGGGAAAGGAGGGGAUCUGUUUACAGACCUUUCGCUAUUUGAUGAGCCUGCGUGAGAUUAGCUAGUUGGUGAGGUAAUGGCUCACCAAGGCGACGAUCUCUAGCUGGUCUGAGAGGAUGAUCAGCCACACUGGAACUGAGACACGGUCCAGACUCCUACGGGAGGCAGCAGUGGGGAAUAUUGCACAAUGGGGGAAACCCUGAUGCAGCCAUGCCGCGUGUGUGAAGAAGGCCUUCGGGUUGUAAA